Long non-coding RNA from Lotus japonicus, 442 nucleotides. RefSeq lists it as uncharacterized. The record is from RefSeq and is a predicted model, not a curated record. The transcript is spliced from 2 exons. NCBI's taxonomy places the organism in Eukaryota, Viridiplantae, Streptophyta, Magnoliopsida, Fabales, Fabaceae.
AGAAAACUGUUGAGCCCAAGAAUGAAGCUGCUGAUGCUCCAGCACAAAAGAAACAGAAAGAGGAUGAUACCUGUUACUUUUGCAAUGUGUCUGGGCAUAUGAAAAAGAAAUGUACUAAAUAUCACGCUUGGCGUGCAAGGAAAGGGUUGCCUAAGCUACCGGAAGCCAAAUGAUGUUGAAAGAUACAUCUAUGUUGGAGAUGGCAAGACGGUGGAGGUGGAAGCUAUAGGGCAUUUUAGAUUAUUAUUGUGUACUGGAUUUUAUUUGGAUUUGAAAGACACUUUUGUGGUACCGUCAUUUAGACGGAAUUUAAUUUCAGUUUCUAAUUUGGACAAAUCAGGUUAUUCAUGUUCAUUUGGAAACAGUAAAGCCGAGUUGUCUUUUAAUUCAAAUAUUGUUGGAACCGGUUCACUUAUUGGAUAUGAUAAUCUGUAUUUGCUGA